Non-coding RNA from Brassica oleracea var. oleracea, 68 nucleotides. The record is from Rfam. Lineage: Eukaryota; Viridiplantae; Streptophyta; Magnoliopsida; Brassicales; Brassicaceae.
GCGCCCAUGGCCCGAUGGAUAAGGCGUCUGACUUCUAAUCAGACUGGGUUCGAAUACCACCGGGCGUG